GUUCCUCACGGCUCACGCCAUUUCCGGUUUCCUUUCCCUCAGCUGUUUCUUGGCUUUUCGUCUGGACAAAUCGGGUGGUGGUGUGUACUGGUUUUCGGUAAAAUUCGGCUCGGCCUCACACGAGCCUAUCUAGGUCCGUCUCUGGAGUGGCCUGUCAUCGAUCGCGCCCUCCAUCGCUGAGCGACACAAGUGGAACCUCCCAGGACUGCAUUCUGCGUAGGUGACCUGUGUGGCGCGGACCGGGCGGGGCCUUUUUGUCCUUGAGCAAACCUAGUAUACUUUCUCAGUGGUGGUUGGAAGGAAAUUUGUAACCCUGUCAUUUCGCAAGUAUGGAAAAAGACCUAAAGGAGAAUUUAGCAGCUGCAGCCGCUGUUUUUAUUGAGUACUUUACUAGCGUCAACUCUUAAAUAAUCGCUUGUUAGAUGUUACCCCUAUUUUAUAGGUCAAGAGACUCAAUAUGUCGGUACGUUGGUAAGGCCAGGCAGCAGGUAAGUUGUAAAACCAUUAUAAAAACACAGGUCAUUAGUCAAAAGACUGCUUCAGGUCUCCUGGCUCCAAAUCCGGGGUUCCUUUCACUGUAGCAUGUUUACUGCUCAAAUAUUUCUCUACAACCCUAUUGCUUAACAACAGGAAUGAAUUGUUUCAUCAUUUGUUGGAAACAUAUGGGUCACGUUUUGUACCAGCAGCAGAAAAUACAGAAAUUAGUAAGAAUUAUCUGCCCACCAGAGGCAUCACCAACCCAGAUUCCCCUCUCGGCCCAGUUUUUCCACCCUUAUUGCCUUCUCCCUUCUGGAAUAACGAACUGGUCCUAGAAACAUAGCAUACUUUUUAGUAUCUCUGUGCCUUGUCAUGUGCUGUUCGUCUUACCAGGAAACUACCCUGCCUUUCCCCCAGUUUUUGUCUGUGAACACAUUUGGGGAAUUCUCCUGAUCCUACCUCUACUCUCUUGAGGUACAGUAAAUUGUCUUUGACUUCCAUCACCUUUUGUAAUAUUACUAAUUUCCAUUUAUUGAGUUCCUGUGAUCUGCCUGGUACUGAUCUAAGUGCUUUAUAUUAGUUUUCUUGUUCAUUUUUUUAUACUAACAUAAAUGAGUUUGACUCAAUUCUUAUAACCUGCCAAAAUAAGUAUUCCUCUUCCUUUUUACAGAGAGAGAAACAAGGAACAAAAAAGUAAAUUGCCUGAGGAUACACUGCUAGUGUUGCGGGACAAAUGAGAGACGGGAGAGGCCGAACAGAGUUCAGGAGAGCUCUUUAUUAUUAAGCCGCGCUGGGGAGGGAAGCAAGACCUCGCCGUGCCUCAAGGAAUGUGAAACCAUGGAACACAGAUAAGCCUCUCCGUGCAUAGAGAAGAAAUAAGCAGUUAAUAUUCUUUCCUAACCCAGGCCUCCAGACCAGGGGGCUAUAUUACAUUCUACCUCUAAGGAAAAGAAUAAACUUCUUGACUAACAUAAUUA
Molecule: non-coding RNA, 1454 nt
Organism: Macaca mulatta (Rhesus monkey)
Lineage: Eukaryota; Metazoa; Chordata; Mammalia; Primates; Cercopithecidae
Source: RefSeq, a predicted model, not a curated record